GCGGGAUUAACUCAGUUGGUAGAGUGUCAGCUUCCCAAGCUGAAUGUCGCCGGUUCGAACCCGGUCACCCGCUCCA
Molecule: transfer RNA, 76 nt
Filed under: Desulfarculaceae bacterium
Lineage: Bacteria; Pseudomonadati; Thermodesulfobacteriota; Desulfarculia; Desulfarculales; Desulfarculaceae
Description: tRNA-Gly
Rfam family: tRNA
About the family: Transfer RNA (tRNA) molecules are approximately 80 nucleotides in length. Their secondary structure includes four short double-helical elements and three loops (D, anti-codon, and T loops).
Source: RNAcentral